CGCCGCGCCUCCUGGUGGUUCCCUACGUCGUGUCGAAGCCACGCCGCGCCCACGGAUCGGAGGAAGGCUCUCCCAAAGCUGGGAGCAGCGAUUUUGGGCCUGCGGGAGGGGAAUCAGAGGGAGCUCGCCAUGGUGGUUGGUCGUUUGGAGCAGGGGACUUAGUGUUGGCACAGGCCCAAUCCGGGGAUUUGCUACAUCUUUUGCAUAAGAGAGUUGGAUCAAGACCUAAACUAUCUGAAUUGGAGAUAGAAAAACAUAAGAUGACACUUGUGCUUGAACAAUAUCGGGUGGAAACUAAAGAACCAACAUGUGACGAUUAAGCUGCUUGAGGAGCAAAACUGCCAACUGGAACAAUAGCGCCACCCUACAGCACUCAUUUCAAGAGCAUAGCUGGACAUAUUUAGCUUUUGGCCACUGCUGCAUUAUUCACUUGUGCGUUGAAUAAUGAGGAAAGAGAAUGGAGAGUUGGAGACGAAUGGUGUGGCCAAACAAAAUUUAUAACAAUAGGACCUUGAGAUAUGUUACGACAAAGCUAAUCCGGUAUUUGCUUUGGUCCCGGAAGAUGUGAUUUCAUGAAGAACUAUUUGAGAAGGUGUCUUUGCUACAGCAGCUUGUACGUCCUGAAAACUUGGAUAUAAAACCAGAAUAUCAGAAUGAAGCGUCAUGGUUGCCAGUUGAAAUUGUCACACCCUGAUCACAUGCUAGUUUAAUCAACCGGACCAGCGGAAUAUAACUUUGACAUGGCUCUCCAAACUAAAGGGCACUUAUUGUUAGAUGGUGCAUCUCAUCUAUGCUCUUGCACUUGA
Long non-coding RNA from Lolium rigidum, 806 nucleotides. RefSeq lists it as uncharacterized. The transcript is spliced from 6 exons. NCBI's taxonomy places the organism in Eukaryota, Viridiplantae, Streptophyta, Magnoliopsida, Poales, Poaceae. The record is from RefSeq and is a predicted model, not a curated record.